This is a long non-coding RNA of Daphnia pulicaria, 287 nucleotides long. RefSeq lists it as uncharacterized. The transcript has 4 exons. The record is from RefSeq and is a predicted model, not a curated record. NCBI's taxonomy places the organism in Eukaryota, Metazoa, Arthropoda, Branchiopoda, Diplostraca, Daphniidae.
GUGGAAUACAAAUGUGCCGAGAUAAGGAUCUUUUCUGAAUCUCGCACUUUUGGUGGCGUACCCUGCAACAGCAUGUUUUUUGUUAUGGCUGUUUCUACUUCUGUUUAGAAGGCAACCGAGCUGAAGGAUAGAGUUUCAGAGACAUGAAGAGUGUGAAGUGAGACCUGCCAUGUGUAUGUUCAUGUACCAGAUCUGCUUGAUGAAAGUUGAAUGCCUUACUAAAUUCAUCACCCAUAUGAUAAAGCAUCAGGAAAUUUAUCUCAUCAUGUGGAGUAAUGCUGUUGGUU